GUGGGGAAUCUUGCGCAAUGGGCGAAAGCCUGACGCAGCCAUGCCGCGUGAAUGAUGAAGGUCUUAGGAUUGUAAAAUUCUUUCACCGGGGACGAUAAUGACGGUACCCGGAGAAGAAGCCCCGGCUAACUUCGUGCCAGCAGCCGCGGUAAUACGAAGGGGGCUAGCGUUGCUCGGAAUUACUGGGCGUAAAGGGCGCGUAGGCGGACAGUUUAGUCAGAGGUGAAAGCCCAGGGCUCAACCUUGGAAUUGCCUUUGAUACUGGCUGUCUUGAGUACGUGAGAGGUGAGGGGAACUCCGAGUGUAGAGGUGAAAUUCGUAGAUAUUCGGAAGAACACCAGUGGCGAAGGCGACUCACUGGCCCGUUAAUGACGCUGAGGCGCGAAAGCGUGGGGAGCAAACAAGAUUAGAAACCCCUGUAGUCC
This 425-nucleotide ribosomal RNA is filed under the name uncultured bacterium. RNAcentral's name for it is "partial 16S ribosomal RNA". It matches the Rfam family "Bacterial small subunit ribosomal RNA", at positions 354 to 796 of the family's 1533-position model. The record is from RNAcentral.